GGGAGAUCAGCUGGUCCACCCCACUGACUCCCAGAUGAGGAAACUGAGGUCCAGACGAGGGGAAGUGAGUGGCCAAAGGUGACACUGUGAGUCAGAGGCAGAUGCGGGACUUGAACCCAGGUCCCCUGACUCCUAACCCAGACUUUCUGAGAAAUGAGUGUCUUGCCACGUGCUUCCCCUUUGCCCUUUCCUCCUGGACAGUGUCAGCUGUCCUUGGGGCCAGGAAGGAGACAUGGAGGCCAGGGGUUUCUGGUGGACCCCACCACAGGGCUUCUCAUCUGAGGCACCGCUGGGAUGUUAAGCCGGAUGGUGCUUUGAGGUAGAGGCUGCCCUGUGCUAGGCCUUCAGGCCAUUUUUCAGACAGGAUCGGGACUUGGAGACCAGGGCCCAGGGAUGCCGCUUGAGGUGACAGAACUGGAAAAGAUGAAGGGAAGAAAGGAAUGUAACCCACAUUGAAUAAUGAAGCCUGACGCUUUAACCCUACAAUGGCCAUUGCUGGAUGUUGACGUAAACAAUAGGUGUCUACAGGAUGAAUUAGCCAAACGACAACUCCGGUGUGAGCAGAACGGGCUCAUUGGGUCAAGACACAAUUCCACCACAGAACGGGUUUCACAAAGGACCAUGUCCCAUCAACUCAGCAAUGAAACCAUCGUGGUCUGGAAACCUGAGAUCAGGACCCACAGAAUGACUGGCGGAAUGACAGACCAAAUGUGGAAGAUGUUCCAACCAGGAAUGAAUCACUUACUUCCAACGUUUCCUAAAGAGGCAAUGGGCUCCUGGGCCCUUUCUCACUCGGGAGGGCCUUUCCUCUGCCCCAUCAUUCUGAGGGUUUCUGGAAGGUGAGUGCGUAAGAUGUGUGUGUCUGUGUGUGUGUGUCUGUGUCUGUGUGUGUGUCUUGCCAAAGAAGGGUGCUGUUGCCUCUUCCCCUUCGCUCCCCUCAUCUCCUCUUUUCUAUCUUCUGCCCCUUUGGUGGAAAGAAGCAUCCAAGCGUGGGGAGCCUUGUUUCGGGGCCACUGAGAACUUGCUGAGCUGAGCUUGCUGAAGCUUACGAUAGCGAGGCCAGGGUGGGAUGUGGCUCAUUGUGUCAGAAAAGAGGUUCAUAGAACUCUUGAGAAUGGGAGUCCUAGAAAUAGGGCCCUAGGCCCAUCUGAAGUCUUCUCACUUGUCCCCAGAGCUUCAGGCUCCUUCCUGUCCCCCCACCUUCCUGGAUGCUGCCUGGUCUAGCCCCAUCAUCCUGCCUGCGCCAUUGCAGUC
RNAcentral lists this long non-coding RNA (1254 nucleotides) under Homo sapiens (human). RNAcentral's name for it is "HSALNT0268577". Lineage: Eukaryota; Metazoa; Chordata; Mammalia; Primates; Hominidae. The record is from RNAcentral.